UAACCUCCAACCCUUUCAACACAAUCUCCUA
Molecule: non-coding RNA, 31 nt
Filed under: Mus musculus (house mouse)
Lineage: Eukaryota; Metazoa; Chordata; Mammalia; Rodentia; Muridae
Source: RNAcentral